RNAcentral lists this ribosomal RNA (598 nucleotides) under Salacia desmoides. RNAcentral's name for it is "partial 16S ribosomal RNA". It matches the Rfam family "Bacterial large subunit ribosomal RNA", at positions 1832 to 2598 of the family's 2925-position model. Lineage: Eukaryota; Metazoa; Cnidaria; Hydrozoa; Leptothecata; Sertulariidae. The record is from RNAcentral.
AGCCCUAGAAAAAAUCUAAGGUGUAACCUGCCCAAUGGUUUUAAAUUAAUAUAAAUAAAAAUUAUAAAAUAAAACUAAAAGGACGCGGUAACCUUGACCGUGAUAAUGUAGCAUAAUCAUUCGCCAUUUAAUUGAUGGAUAGUAUGAAUGGUUGAACGAAUAUUUCACUGUCUUAAAAAGAAACAUUUAAAAAUUAGAAUAAUAGUAAAGAUACUAUUUAAAAUUGUAAGACGAAAAGACCCUAUAGAGCUUAACUAUAAUCUUUUACUAAUCAAAAGAAAAAAUUCUUUAAAAUAAAAAGAUUGGUAGUUUAGUUGGGGCGACUAUCUUUUAAAAUUAACAAAGAUAAGCAAAGUAAAUAAAAAAAACUUAUUGUAUAAUUAAUAAAUUUAACAAUUACUAAAGUAGGCUAUAAUGACCCGUUAUAAUCUCAUAAAAAAAAUAACGAUCAAUAAAUAAAAGCUACCUUAGGGAUAACAGGAUAAUUUUAUUUUAGAGAUCAUAUCGAAAAUAAAGUUUGUCACCUCUAUGUUGAAUUAAGAUAUCCUGAUAAUGCAGAAGUUAUCAAAGGUAGGUCUGUUCGACCUUUAAAAUCUUA